CCUUCCUUCAGGUCGGCGUCGAUGAAUCUGUCGAGCCGACCUCGUCUAAUGAGCUCCUCGAUCUCGUCUCGAAGCUGAAUACACUCCUCUGUGUCAUGGCCAUGGUCACGAUGAUAGAGGCAAAAUUUGUUUGUGUUGUGCUUCCCAAGAUGCGAGCGCAUCCUCUCCGACCUUGGGAGCUGCUCCUUAACCUCCAUCGGCACUUGAGCUUUCGAGGUGUUGAGAGGGGCGUAGCUGUGGAACCUUCCAAGAGGAGAGCCUCACCGAACUCGAUGGUAUGGGCUUCUCUGCUUACAAGUUUGGGGAGGAGUCCGGACGUGCC
Molecule: long non-coding RNA, 322 nt
Filed under: Elaeis guineensis (African oil palm)
Lineage: Eukaryota; Viridiplantae; Streptophyta; Magnoliopsida; Arecales; Arecaceae
Description: long non-coding RNA (EGUI_LNC070099)
Source: RNAcentral